AGGCUUAAUACAUGCAAGUCGAGCGGUCUCUUUCGGGAGACAGCGGCGGACGGGUUAGUAACGCGUGGGAACGUGCCCUUUAGUACGGAAUAGCCAUUGGAAACGAUGAUUAAUACCGUAUAUGCCCUAUGGGGGAAAGAUUUAUCGCUAAAGGAUCGGCCCGCGUUAGAUUAGGUUGUUGGUGGGGUAAUGGCCUACCAAGCCUACGAUCUAUAGCUGGUUUGAGAGGAUGAUCAGCAACACUGGGACUGAGACACGGCCCAGACUUCUACGGAAGGCAGCAGUAGGGAAUCUUGGACAAUGGGCGAAAGCCUGAUCCAGCCAUGCCGCGUGAGUGAUGAAGGCCCUAGGGUUGUAAAACUCUUUCGCCAGGGAAGAUAAUGACGGUACC
This 391-nucleotide ribosomal RNA is filed under the name uncultured Alphaproteobacteria bacterium. Its description in RNAcentral is "bacterial SSU rRNA". It matches the Rfam family "Bacterial small subunit ribosomal RNA", at positions 44 to 479 of the family's 1533-position model. Lineage: Bacteria; Pseudomonadati; Pseudomonadota; Alphaproteobacteria. The record is from RNAcentral.